GACGUAGGGCGCGAGCGUUGUCCGGAUUUAUUGGGCGUAAAGAGCUCGUAGGCGGCUUGUCACGUCGGGUGUGAAAGCCCGGGGCUUAACCCCGGGUCUGCAUUCGAUACGGGCUGGCUAGAGUCCGGGAGAGGAGAGUGGAAUUCCUGGUGUAGCGGUGAAAUGCGCAGAUAUCAGGAAGAACACCCGUGGCGAAAGCGGCUCUCUGGAACGGUACUGACGCUGAGACGCGAAAGCGUGGGGAGCGAACAGG
Molecule: ribosomal RNA, 253 nt
Filed under: uncultured bacterium
Lineage: Bacteria
Description: partial 16S ribosomal RNA
Rfam family: Bacterial small subunit ribosomal RNA
Source: RNAcentral